UCCCUAAAUCUCCGUAAUCUAUGAAAUGGGUAUAAUAACGGUGCUCAGCCCAUAAGGCAGCCGUGGGGGUUAAAAGGAAAUGAAACGUGUUUCCCGUUACUGAGCACAGUGGAUGGAACGAUCAGCCAAAGCCAGGCUUCACUGCCGGAAGCAGUGACGUCAUCACCGCACUCCGAAGUAGUGAGUCCUUAAAGGCACACACACACAUACACGUCCAGAGAAGAAAAACCCAAGGUGAGGGGAGUGGCUCUGAUGACAAGACGAAGGCACAAGAACUGGGAAAAGGAGGAAGCAGGAAGUUAGAAUUCCAAGAAAUGUGGAUCAGGAGGUCAUAACCCAGGCUGCUCAACACUAAGAAGGUAAAAAUUCUUACUCAAAGGCAGAGCCACGUGGAGCAAUUUUUAGAGGUAAUUCCAUUGACAAAGUACUGCCUUCCCUUGAAUCUGCCUGAUUGCCUUUGCCAAUGGAGCCUAUCUGAAGCUAGUGAUCAUCUCUAGAGAAAAAGAAGUGUCCUGCUAACCUUGCUGGGUGCUGUGAAAAGGUGAAACAGAAGGCUUUAGUUUCCAACAUGCUGAUCGACAAUCAGGUCACCUCAGCACUUUCCUGAGACCACCAAACAACUCAAUGUCACACCAGCUGCCCCCGUGUAGAUUUCUGAGUGUAAAGCUCUUGGGGUCAUUAACAAACUUCAGUACCGAGAACAAUGACAGGCUUUGCCACAUCCUAUUCCAAUCCAGAUGCUGAGUGGUAGUUGAGUGUUCAACUUUCUACCACCUGGGCUCAGUCAAGUUAAAGGACAUUGAGGAGUUCCCCUCGAGGCUCAGUGGUUAAUGAACCUGACUAGGAUCCAUAAGGAUGCAGGUUUGAUCCCUGGCCUUGUUCAGUGGGUUAAGGAUCUGGUGUUGCCGUGAGCUGUGGCUGUGGUGUAGGCUGGCAGCUGUAGCUCCGAUUCGACCCCUAGCCUGGGAACUCCCAUAUGCCACGGGUGUGGCCCCGAAAAAAAAAAAAAAAAAGAGUUAAAGGACAUUGAUAAUUCCCAAUUU
This 1043-nucleotide long non-coding RNA is filed under the name Sus scrofa (pig). Its description in RNAcentral is "lncRNA (ENSSSCG00015032756.1)". The record is from RNAcentral. Lineage: Eukaryota; Metazoa; Chordata; Mammalia; Artiodactyla; Suidae.